GUGAAUAAUAUGUCCUCCGGCGAAUACUCUCCUCAAUCGUUGAGCUUCCUCCCUUCUCAGCACCAUACAUGCGUUUCUGUGCAGUGUCCAAGAAAUUUCGGCUCGAGGGCACAGCAUUUUGUUUGGCUUCCAGUGCAUCAUCCUCAGCUGCCUUCUUCAAUCGCUUCCAUCGUUGCUCUUCAUGUAACUCGGCAUCCUGCUGCAUUUCACGCAGUCUAGCUGCACGCUCUUCUUCUGAAAGCUUUGUAGCAGGCCUACGAUGCUUGUGGCGUGACUCGCGAGGAGUUUCAGAAGCAUUGGAUUCAUAAGACCUCGAUUCCCCCACUCUUCUGCUGUCCUUUUCAUUGUUAGAAUAAG
Molecule: unclassified non-coding RNA, 357 nt
Filed under: Hevea brasiliensis (rubber tree)
Lineage: Eukaryota; Viridiplantae; Streptophyta; Magnoliopsida; Malpighiales; Euphorbiaceae
Source: RNAcentral